GGGCAAGAUCCUUGAUGAAUGGUUUGGCCGGACCAUCAUCCGCUCCUGCACCAAACUUAGCUACGAGCAUGCACAGAGCAUGAUUGAAAGCUCAACUGAGAAAAUCCCUGCAAAAGAGCUGCCCCCCAUUUCCCCAGAGCAUAGCAGCGAGGAGGUACACCAGGCCGUCUUGAAUCUCCACGGAAUUGCCAAGCAGUUACGCCAGCAGCGCUUUGUGGACGGCGCACUUCGUUUGGAUCAGCUAAAGCUUGCUUUCACUCUGGACCACGAGACCGGAUUGCCUCAAGGAUGUCAUAUCUAUGAGUACCGCGAGAGCAACAAUGAAGAACAGUGAUAGCUAUGAAGAGCAUUAAACAUGUCAGACAAACUUGUGGAAGCUGAAUUCGAUUGCAAGGCUAUACUCUUGUUCACGACAUCUAGACUUUAUGAUCCAUGUACCAUAAUCAUGAUGGGAGCUACCAUCUUCUGAGUGCCCACAGACACCAGGCAAGGGGCUUACCCAGGUUAGUUCUAGUCUAAAACCAUUCAAGAAGGAUAUUCACAAUAAAAAAUAAAAAUAAAACC
RNAcentral lists this small RNA (564 nucleotides) under Pan troglodytes (chimpanzee). RNAcentral describes it as "processed transcript". Lineage: Eukaryota; Metazoa; Chordata; Mammalia; Primates; Hominidae. The record is from RNAcentral.